This 106-nucleotide non-coding RNA is filed under the name Symbiodinium sp. CCMP2430. Lineage: Eukaryota; Dinophyceae; Suessiales; Symbiodiniaceae. The record is from RNAcentral.
ACACCUUCCCCGAGGGAAAGAUGACGGUGGAUGCCUUGGAGAUCGACCCGGCAGUGGUCAAGGUGGCAACGGAUGCCAUGGGCUUCCCCAAGGGUGCAAUCCGCGA